Molecule: ribosomal RNA, 421 nt
Filed under: uncultured bacterium
Lineage: Bacteria
Description: bacterial SSU rRNA
Rfam family: Bacterial small subunit ribosomal RNA
Source: RNAcentral
GAGGAAUAUUGGGCAAUGCCCGCAAGGGUGACCCAGCAACGCCGCGUGGAGGAUGAAUGUCGUAAGAUUGUAAACUCCUGUUAGAGGGGAAGAAUAGUACCGGUUGGACCGGUAUAUGACUGUACCCUCAGAGAAAGCCCCGGCUAACUACGUGCCAGCAGCCGCGGUAAUACGUAGGGGGCAAGCGUUGUCCGGAUUUACUGGGUGUAAAGGGCGCGCAGGCGGGAUAAAAAGUCAGUGGUGAAAUCCUACAGCUUAACUGUAGAACUGCCUUUGAUACUUUUAUUCUUGAGUUCGGGAGAGAGAGACGGAAUUCCAGGUGUAGUGGUGAAAUACGUAGAUAUCCGGAAGAACACCAGUUGCGAAGGCGGUCUCUUGGUCCGACACUGACGCUGAGGCGCGAAAGCGUGGGGAGCAAACA